RNAcentral lists this ribosomal RNA (444 nucleotides) under Triticum aestivum (bread wheat). RNAcentral describes it as "partial small subunit ribosomal RNA". The record is from RNAcentral. Lineage: Eukaryota; Viridiplantae; Streptophyta; Magnoliopsida; Poales; Poaceae.
AUGGACACGGCGGGUGCAACCAGCAAGAAGCAACGGCUUUCCCAUGAGUACGUGAGUGACAUCCUGACCAUGCCUAUAGAGGAGAAGCACCAGCACCCAGACAACUUGCCGUCCUACCUUCGCGGCGACAACCCGGCGGAGCUCCUGGACGUGACGGAGGAGUGGCUCGAGGAGAAGAGGCUGGCGUACAGGGAACGGGCCGCCCGCGACCAGAGGAUCCAUGCUGACUGGGUGCAGUUUCAGAACCGGGUCCGCGGCGAGUUGCUUGAGAAGGGCUACGUGGAGGUGGACGACGAUGACUUCACCUACAUCGCCAGGAUCGAGGAAGAGGCCAGCGCAAGGUGGGAAGAGGUGAAGAAGAAGAAACCAGACCCGGGUCUCACAUUAUUCUCGGAGUUAGCUGACGCCUGUGAGAAGCAGGCGAUGCUCUUCCUUGGUCAGUGA